Helianthus annuus (common sunflower) is the source of this 588-nucleotide long non-coding RNA. RefSeq lists it as uncharacterized. The record is from RefSeq and is a predicted model, not a curated record. Lineage: Eukaryota; Viridiplantae; Streptophyta; Magnoliopsida; Asterales; Asteraceae. The transcript has 2 exons.
UGACAUCAAUAUUAAUUCCGUCGGUAAAAGUACUCCUAAUCAAAAAGCGGCACUUUGCCACAUGAUCUUACAAACGAUUACAAUAUCGCUGAGGUACGUUGGAACAAUAUUUCACAACCAUUGGUGCACAGUUUAAUUAUAGUCAUAAUUAUUGGCACUACAAAAGAAGUUAUCUACCUUUGCAAAUCCCCUAUUUCAUUUCAUUUCAUUCGACAUUCCUUGGUAAUAUCACUUAACAAAGGUUAUCACACGAGAUUCCAGAUAAAGUUCUUAUAUUUCUUUCGUUAAAAUUCUAACCUUUGUGAAUAGACUUUGGCCUUGCUACUUCCCCUAAAGGUUAUCAUACCAUAAGGAUUUCUUUCAUGGUAGCGAAUAUUGAUCUGUUUCAUUUCUUGAUAAAUCCACACGUUACACAUGCACUGGUUGUUGCACGUGUGGUUCGUAUGAAGACCACUGGAGGGCUUCAUUCUAACCUGCUGUUUUAUCAAAAGUUCAAAUCUCGUUUUGCUAUACUUAAUCUUUGCAUUAUAAACCGCGUUUUACAAAGCGAUAACUCUUUAAUAUCGAAUCAAUGAAUUUCUUGAAAAA